RNAcentral lists this ribosomal RNA (561 nucleotides) under Humicola wallefii. RNAcentral's name for it is "partial large subunit ribosomal RNA". It matches the Rfam family "Eukaryotic large subunit ribosomal RNA", at positions 38 to 625 of the family's 3401-position model. Lineage: Eukaryota; Fungi; Ascomycota; Sordariomycetes; Sordariales; Chaetomiaceae. The record is from RNAcentral.
ACAUAUCAAUAAGCGGAGGAAAAGAAACCAACAGGGAUUGCCCUAGUAACGGCGAGUGAAGCGGCAACAGCUCAAAUUUGAAAUCUGGCCUCGGCCCGAGUUGUAAUUUGCAGAGGAAGCUUUAGGCGCGGCACCAACUGAGUCCCCUGGAACGGGGCGCCACAGAGGGUGAGAGCCCCGUAUAGUUGGACGCCUAGCCUGUGUAAAGCUCCUUCGACGAGUCGAGUAGUUUGGGAAUGCUGCUCAAAAUGGGAGGUAAAUUUCUUCUAAAGCUAAAUACCGGCCAGAGACCGAUAGCGCACAAGUAGAGUGAUCGAAAGAUGAAAAGCACUUUGAAAAGAGGGUUAAAUAGCACGUGAAAUUGUUGAAAGGGAAGCGCUUGUGACCAGACUUGCGCCCGGCUGAUCAUCCGGUGUUCUCACCGGUGCACUCUGCCGGGCUCAGGCCAGCAUCGGUUCUCGCGGGGGGAUAAAGGUCCUGGGAACGUAGCUCCUCCGGGAGUGUUAUAGCCCAGGGCGUCAUGCCCUCGCGGGGACCGAGGUUCGCGCAUCUGCAAGGAUG